CUACAAUAAUGACAGAAACGUCCGACACUGACUUGCCUGAACACCCGUAGCCUUAUUUAGGCGAACUUUUUGAAAUGGUGGAAAGGAAGACGGAUUUGUUUUACUUUAAGUGUCUUCUCUGCCUGCCGAAGAACAAUAUUAUAUCCUCGUUCAAGAAUUCUCCCUCGAAUUUAAAGAAACACGUCGAGAGAAAGCAUGCAAGUGUUGUGGAUAGGUAUGACGCUUUGACUGCCCCACGCAAAAGAAAAGCAAAGAACCAAGACGCUCCUUAAGUUAGGCCUGGACUACAUUAAGGACCAUCUGGAGGAAGACCCUUCACAUCAAUUGCCAGCUAAUGGCUCCAGUGCAUCAGAUGAUGA
Molecule: long non-coding RNA, 359 nt
Organism: Alosa alosa (allis shad)
Lineage: Eukaryota; Metazoa; Chordata; Actinopteri; Clupeiformes; Clupeidae
Exons: 3
Source: RefSeq, a predicted model, not a curated record